This 241-nucleotide ribosomal RNA is filed under the name uncultured bacterium. RNAcentral's name for it is "partial 16S ribosomal RNA". It matches the Rfam family "Bacterial small subunit ribosomal RNA", at positions 117 to 353 of the family's 1533-position model. The record is from RNAcentral.
GUGGGUAACCUGCCUUAUAGUGGGGGAUAGCCUUUCGAAAGGAAGAUUAAUACCGCAUAAGAUUGUAGUAUCGCAUGAUAUAGCAAUUAAAGGAGCAAUUCGCUAUAAGAUGGACCCGCGUCGCAUUAGCUAGUUGGUGAGGUAAUGGCUCACCAAGGCGACGAUGCGUAGCCGACCUGAGAGGGUGAUCGGCCACAUUGGGGACUGAGACACGACCCAGACUCCUACGGGAGGCAGCAUG